RNAcentral lists this long non-coding RNA (1195 nucleotides) under Apteryx haastii (Great spotted kiwi). RNAcentral's name for it is "lncRNA (ENSAHAG00000000298.1)". The record is from RNAcentral. Lineage: Eukaryota; Metazoa; Chordata; Aves; Apterygiformes; Apterygidae.
UUCAGAGCCCAGCAGGAGCUGCAGGAGCCCUCAGCCUUUUUCAGACAUCAGGGCCAGCACCCAGGAGUUCUGCUGGCCACAAUGGCACCUGAGCCAGAAGGGACCAUCAGUGGGGGAUCCGGCUGCAGGCCCCAGCCCCAUCCAGCCUCCCCCCGGCCCAGGGUUUCCACAGCCAUGUUCAGAGUUAAUGGUCUCCCGGGAAGGAGAUCCUGAAGGCCUUACCAUGGGUGGGAAGUGUUGGCACCACCUGCCCACGCUGCGUCCCCGUGGCCAGCGUCCCAGAACUCCAUCUUUGUCCUCCUCGCCCUGGGUCACCCUGCAGCAGGAGGUGACGAGGAAACAGCUCCUCUCCUCCUCCUCCUCCACACGUCACCGCAGCCCCGCUCUGCCCCAGCCUCCCCUCGCCGGCUCCCGCUCGGGGUCGGCGGCUCCUUGCAGCAGAGCGGUGCUGAGAGCAGCCCCAGCACCUGGGCUCCCCCGACCUCACUGCAACGUGUGGGGAGAGGCUGGGGCCGCGCGGGAGAGGGCAGCUAUCGCCGUAACACGGGAUGUCCCCUGUGACCACAGCCCCGUCACAGAGGGGGCACGGCCCCCCUCGCCCCAGGGCCCUGGCCAGGGGCUGCAUGGGGCAGUCAGGGGCUGCCCCUGCCCCCAAUGCAGGCCGGGCCACAGGGAGAACCCCGCCAGGGGUCCUGACUGGGCUGGGCGCUGCAGCUGCGCUCACCCAGCCAUGGCCCCCGCACGGAAAACUUGGCUGCAAGAGAGGGCAGUGGGCACUGCGCCACGCUCGCCCCACAGUGACACAUCACAGGCGGCUGCUGCCGCUGGGGAGGAAGUGCUGACAACUGAGCGCACCAAAACACCCAGCAAUGACUUGGCAGCGACCAAAACCUUCUUCUGGGCGCUUGAACCAGCGGGUCCUUCCCUUGCCAGUGAGCUUCUCCAGAAAACUUGCAGGGAACCAAUGUUCAGUACUGUUAACCUGCAGAUGUGUUUGAGACCUAGUGACUGCGGCACCUCAGGGCCUGCGGUGGAUGGGGACUGAACAGGGGAAGAGGCAGCACCAGCAGAGCUGCAGGCACCAGCUCACUAAACACAUGGGGAUCACAGACUGCUCUGCCUACACUGCUCUCACACCUGCACCAGCUAUUGGCCUCCUCACACCAGCCCACAAACACUUAAACCAGCAGAACUG